GACGAACGCUGGCGGCGUGCUUAACACAUGCAAGUCGAACGGAAAGGCCCUGCUUUUGUGGGGUGCUCGAGUGGCGAACGGGUGAGUAACACGUGAGUAACCUGCCCUUGACUUUGGGAUAACUUCAGGAAACUGGGGCUAAUACCGGAUAGGAGCUCCUGCUGCAUGGUGGGGGUUGGAAAGUUUCGGCGGUUGGGGAUGGACUCGCGGCUUAUUAGCUUGUUGGUGGGGUAGUGGCUUACCAAGGCUUUGACGGGUAGCCGGCCUGAGAGGGUGACCGGCCACAUUGGGACUGAGAUACGGCCCAGACUCCUACGGGAGGCAGCAGUGGGGAAUAUUGCACAAUGGGCGGAAGCCUGAUGCAGCAACGCCGCGUGCGGGAUGAAAGCCUUCGGGUUGUAAACCGCUUUCGCCUGUGACGAAGCGUGAGUGACGGUAAUGGGUAAAGAAGCACCGGCUAACUACGUG
RNAcentral lists this ribosomal RNA (468 nucleotides) under uncultured bacterium. RNAcentral's name for it is "partial 16S ribosomal RNA". It matches the Rfam family "Bacterial small subunit ribosomal RNA", at positions 28 to 507 of the family's 1533-position model. The record is from RNAcentral.